CAGGAAUUAGAAGAAAAAAAAAAAAAAAAAAAAAGGGAAAAGAAAAAAAGAAAGAAAGAGAAAAAAGAAACAACCACCGCCCCGGGGGUGAAGCUCCCUCGCUCCCAACUCUACUUCUUGGUCUCCCCCCCACCCCCCGCUCCCCCCCCCUUCUGCUGCUUCCUCCUCCUCCUCCUCCUCUCGCAGCAGCAGUCACAGCAGCAGCAGCAGCAGCCCAAAGGGGGGGAGAGCCGGGCGGCGGGCGGGCGCGUCCCGGAGCGGCCGCGGCGAGGCUGGGGAGACAGCGAUCGAGGCGGCUAUAGCCACAAUUAAUUUUCCGAGCUACAGGCGCACACUAGGGCUGUAAAAAAAUUUUUGGUUUAACCUUUCCUACCGCUCGGCCAAUCAGAGCCGGCGGCGUGCGGGAGCGUCUCUCCCGCCGUCGACCAAUCGGCGGACCCGGGCCCACCCACCCCCGCCCCGCCCGCCGGCUCCCGCCCCCUCGGCGCUCGCCUCCCCCUCGCCGCGGGCCUGGGCCUCGCGGCCGCGCGGAGCCGCGUAGGGAUACGCCGUCCGGAGCACGCUGCGCCGCGGCCCUCUCGGCGCCCCCGCCACCCCCUCCGCCCUGCGGGCCGCUCCGCCGAGGUCCCCCUCUUAGGGCAGAUAGCUCACAUUUCCGGCUGCCUCCUCGCCGUGUCGGGCCAUUUUCGUUUGAGCGUCAAUGUUUGUCGUUAUUGAUUAAAGUUUGUAUUCCAUUUCAUUUUUAAAAGCGGGGGCGGGGGCGGGGGCGGGGGCGGCCGCGGCGGUGGGGCGGAGAGUGUGGGAGUGCGGGGACGGGGUGCGAGGAGAGGGCAGGAAAUGGAGGAGGAAGAGGCGAGGCGCGACCGGCCCCGAGUCGGCCCUCCAGGCCCGGGGCGGCAUUGCCGAGCCCGUAGGAAAACUGUGCCCCUCAACCGCAUGCCGAAGCCAGGCCUUUCCCACCCCGAAUGCGGACGGAAGGCAACUAGAAGCCCUGGGUACGUGGGUCCCACAGCCCCAGCUUCUUGGGCUUUCGAACUGGGAAGGUUCGGCUGAGGACUGAAGUGAGUGGGGAGAUUGUGAUUCGGGGGCUUUAAAAGGAUCCCGUGGCCAGGGGCAGGGCUAAGGCCCAGCAUUUCCCAGGGAUUGGAAUUUGGUGCGGAGCACACUGAUCAAAGGCUGUUUCAUCCCACAUGGGUACGAAACAUACCACAUUUUACGGAGGAUGUAGCCCUAGAGAAGAGGGAGGUGGAGGAGAAGCAUAAAUGAAAGGCACUUUCCCCCUCCUCUGCAAAAUCAUCAUAAAAUGUAAACAUUCACGCACUCUGAUAAACUAUCAAUUAAAUUGGCGGAUUUAGUAUUUAAGAAAAGGAAGGGAGAAGAGGUGAUGUCAAAGUUCAAUUCUAAUAAAAAGAAUUCGGUUGAUGAACACAAGAAUACUCAAGUUCAUAUGGGGUUGUGGCACUCUCUCUCUCUCUCUCUCUGGGCACCCCACUCCCUACUUUGAAAUCCUGAGGAAGAGAAAGAGAGAAUAAACUCUGAAUAACAGACGAUUACCAAUAGCUAGUGAUUUUACAUCUGUUAGGAAUACCAUAAAGAAACUUUGAACAUUGGACUAACUGCAUCUGUCCUUCCACUGUAUGUAUGUAUGUAUGUAUGUAUGUAUGUAUGUAUCCCCCCCCUCCCGUUUCUACUUAUUUCCUCACUUAAUCUAUAUUUUCAUGUGGGAAAGUUG
Molecule: long non-coding RNA, 1732 nt
Filed under: Canis lupus familiaris (dog)
Lineage: Eukaryota; Metazoa; Chordata; Mammalia; Carnivora; Canidae
Description: lncRNA (ENSCAFG00000058096.1)
Source: RNAcentral